CCAGUUUCAACUGAUCUUUCCUUGGCGCAAAAAUCCCAAACCUAUAAAAAAAAAAAAUGAAAAUUAAAAGGCAAGUAUGAAAGUCUUCGUCGGCCGAAUGCGGCGUCCGCCGUGCCGCAGGGCUCCGACGAGUUCCGCUCCUUCUUUCGCCGUCUCCCUGAGUUUGAAUUCUGGUUCGUAAUGAUAGAAGCUCAAUUGGCAUUGUCAGGGAUAGGAACAUUACUGAUGGCUGGAUAGAUUGAUGUAAAGAAGUCAUGGAUUUUGGUGCAGUGAGAGCAACUUCAAUUGAUGUGCAAGUGCAGGCAGAAGAUGAGAUUAUUGGUGUAUUAAGCCAGUCAAUGGUGAGAAUGUGAAUUUCUUUUAGGGAGGAGAUUUUGUUAGAAAGUUGUGUUAGGAGAGUGAAGCUUUACUAGGAAGAGCUCAAGUAAAUAUGUAUGGAAUUCAUUUACUUAUCAAAAGAAGGAUCUGUAAUUCUUCGUUGAAAUUUCACAUCCAGAAUAUCAGCCUUUCAUCGUUGAAAUUUCAUUGUUGAUGGAAGAUAUAUCUUCUCAGUGUCUUGAUAAUUAUUGCUCAGCUCCUCGAACCGUGCAGAGUUAUCAAUCUUUUUAUGUGGUUCUAUAUGCAGCU
Long non-coding RNA from Ipomoea nil (Japanese morning glory), 627 nucleotides. RefSeq lists it as uncharacterized. The record is from RefSeq and is a predicted model, not a curated record. Lineage: Eukaryota; Viridiplantae; Streptophyta; Magnoliopsida; Solanales; Convolvulaceae. The transcript is spliced from 2 exons.